UCCCAUUCCUCAAAUCAGCAUCUUAUUGACGUAUGCAUGUCCGUUUUACGAUGUCAAUUGUACAUCAUUGUUCAGUAUUUUUUCCUUUUCAAUUGACACCGCAAAAGCUGCUGCAUAGUGUCAGAAAGUACUGUUUAAUUAAACCACAGUGACAGGAAAAGCCACCUACAAACAAAAAACUUAAUAAACCCACAAGCAUGAGAACUAUACUCUCUCACAGACAGUGAAGGAGAUCAACCCUUUGAGGUCAGGGCUACAAGGACACAGUGGACAGAACUUUUGUCCAUGGCAGACAGUAUUCAAACGUAAAUUGUAAGAAGCACAGGAAGUGUAUGCAGAACAGAGCUUGUGAGACUGUAGCAAGGAGAACAAGAGAAGGAGGAGGAGAAAGUAAUAACAUAGGUAAGAGGAAUAAGUAAGGUGAGAAAGAACCACUGGGAAAAGAGAAUACACAUAACCACCCAGUCUUUUGUUUUAACUAAACUAAGCCUCCCAGUCUCACUGAAGAUAUCUGAGACUUUCAUGGACUUAGCAGUACAGUAAGCACUUAAUCAAUUAAAGAACUAAGAUAAUUUGCUAAACAUCCCACCCUUUUGAUAUGUGAUUUGAACUCAAGUUCUCUGUAAAAGCACUUGUUAACAGUUGUCUGCUCUUUUCACUGUCCUAUAGCUACCUUUCUUUUCUGUGCCAGCCCAGAACCUUGAGUAUUUGGUAAUUAAGAAGAGUAUUUCUUGCCUUGAACUCCAAAGCUGAAAAGCCAAAAAUCUUUUUCAUUUCAGAAGUGUAAAGAUGCAAGAAAAUACAAAUUGCACAAAGAAUCUAGGUAACCAAAUAUUAUGUACUAUUCAAAUCUCCCAAUGAUCAGUAGUAUAUGUUGUUUGCAUCUUACUAAAAACCUCAGCACAUCUCUUCUACUCUUGCAUAACUCCCUACAACUAUGGUUUCCCUACUACUACUGUAUCCUACACAUUCAUUUGAAUUUUAUCUUCAGAAAAUUUUCAGAACUCUCUUCUUCAAACUGAUCACACUAAUCCCAGAGAGUUGUCAGAACCCCAUGGCACAAGUCAGUAUAAAAAUACAGUCAAAAACUCAUAAGAUUACCUUGUAAGUAAACAGGCAGAUAUCCAGACAAAAUGAGGCCUGCUGAAAAUGAUUUUAUGAGAUAUAGUUGCAUAAGAUGUAUCAUAUCAAAUU
Gallus gallus (chicken) is the source of this 1194-nucleotide long non-coding RNA. The record is from Ensembl. NCBI's taxonomy places the organism in Eukaryota, Metazoa, Chordata, Aves, Galliformes, Phasianidae.